CCAAAGUUAGAUGCAUUGAAAUUUAAUUUACAACAAGCAAUACAUAAACUGAAACAGUGUUGGGAGUCUGAGACGAUGAUGCCUAUAAGCAUUGAGAUGGAAAAGGGAAUAGGAGUAUCAGUGCUAAAGGAUCCUAAAAAUUGUAGAGGUCUGGGAAAGGGAAUUUCCAAGUACAGGGUGAACCUGUCAUAUUUAACAUGUGAUGGACUCUAAAAGUUGUAAAUAAAUUUAUUAUUCUGAUCCACUAAAAUUAUACGGACGGAACAAAUGAUAACUCCCUUUGCUCACUUUUUAAUUGAGCUUCUGCCAUUGUGUUAAAAAACAAUAGCUAUGGAUUCAUGAUUUGAACCGUACACAUGCAGCAAAAUGCUUCGCGAACGGCGGCCAGAAAA
Molecule: long non-coding RNA, 392 nt
Filed under: Zea mays
Lineage: Eukaryota; Viridiplantae; Streptophyta; Magnoliopsida; Poales; Poaceae
Description: long non-coding RNA NONZMAT004182
Source: RNAcentral